Long non-coding RNA from Helianthus annuus (common sunflower), 222 nucleotides. RefSeq lists it as uncharacterized. The record is from RefSeq and is a predicted model, not a curated record. The transcript has 3 exons. Lineage: Eukaryota; Viridiplantae; Streptophyta; Magnoliopsida; Asterales; Asteraceae.
GCGACCAGGAGAGGGGAAGAACCCCCAAACCCUUAUUUCAUCUAAAUUGAUCAAUUGAAGGGUGAGUUGGGCAUAUAAUCACUGCAUGAAUCAAAAAUCUUGAUCACCUACACUUGUCUAACACUAGGCAACAUAAGCGAGGCGUCGGGAAGUCAAGCCGGUGCGGACGCUAGUUUGAAGGGAAAAACUUUGAGGCGAAUGUCGAUAGUCCCGGAUGAAGAU